RNAcentral lists this ribosomal RNA (358 nucleotides) under uncultured bacterium. Its description in RNAcentral is "bacterial SSU rRNA". It matches the Rfam family "Bacterial small subunit ribosomal RNA", at positions 527 to 887 of the family's 1533-position model. The record is from RNAcentral.
GGAGGGUGCAAGCGUUGUCCGGAWUUAUUGGGUUUAAAGGGUGCGUAGGCGGCCCGUUAAGUCAGUGGUGAAAGCCUCCAGCUCAACUGGAGAACUGCCAUUGAUACUGACGGGCUUGAGUACAGACGAGGUUGGCGGAAUUGAUUGUGUAGCGGUGAAAUGCAUAGAUACAAUCAAGAACUCCGAUUGCGUAGGCAGCUAACUAGGCUGUAACUGACGCUGAGGCACGAAAGCGUGGGGAGCGAACAGGAUUAGAUACCCUGGUAGUCCACGCCGUAAACGAUGAUUACUCGAUGUUGGCGAUAAACUGUCAGCGUYUUARMRRAAGCGUUAAGUAAUCCACCUGGGGAGUACGCCC